Molecule: long non-coding RNA, 383 nt
Filed under: Gallus gallus (chicken)
Lineage: Eukaryota; Metazoa; Chordata; Aves; Galliformes; Phasianidae
Source: RNAcentral
GUCUGGUAAGACCAGCUGUAAUCAGAACCUUUCAAAUCUAAAAUUACCUGUUCACUUGAAGAUGGUAACUUGUGUGGAUCCAUGGUGAGACUUUUCAAGUCAUCUGAUAUGGUCUGUAAAUGGGUUAUUUCUCCCAGCAUUGAUAUUUCUUCUUCUAUCACAGGCCGCAGCAUCGAGAUGAAAGUACAGAAUCGACCACGCUCCUCGAUGAGAGCUUUUCUGACAGCUUGCUUCUCAGUUUCUUCAAGCAGCAGGUACUUAUCAUUGACAUCUUGCAGAGCACUAUCCAACUGGGGCUGAAUGUCACCCCGUCCUUUCUUUGCUUUCUUCUGUAGCUUCAGUGUAUCAGACGAUUUCUUUUUUAUCUCUUGGCGGGCUUUUUU